Molecule: ribosomal RNA, 1671 nt
Filed under: metagenome
Description: bacterial LSU rRNA
Rfam family: Bacterial large subunit ribosomal RNA
Source: RNAcentral
AGCGUUCCAUGUGGGGCGAAGCGUUAGCGUAAGCGGGCGUGGACUGCAUGGAAGUGAGAAUGUCGGCUUGAGUAGCGAAAACAUGGGUGAGAAUCCCAUGCCCCGAAACCCUAAGGGUUCCUCCGGCAGGCUCGUCCGCGGAGGGUUAGUCAGGACCUAAGGCGAGGCCGAAAGGCGUAGUCGAUGGACAACAGGUCAACAUUCCUGUACCGAUCAUGUUUUGGGAAGGGGGACGGAGAAGGCUAGCCCAGCCAGAUGUUGGUUACUGGUCCAAGCGUUCGAGGCGUUGAGAGCUGGAGAAAACAGCUUGAGCUGAGGCGUGAGUGCGAGCUUCUACGGAAGCGAAGUGGGUGACGUCAAGCUUCCAAGAAAAGCCCUAUACCCGUUAAGGCAUGAUUGCCUGUACCCGAAACCGACACAGGUGGGGUGGUAGAGAAUACCGAGGGGCGCGAGGUAACUCUCUCUAAGGAACUCGGCAAAAUGGCCCCGUAACUUCGGGAGAAGGGGUGCCACCGCAAGGUGGUCGCAGUGAAGAGGCCCAGGCGACUGUUUACCAAAAACACAGGUCUCCGCUAAGUCGCAAGACGAUGUAUGGGGGCUGACGCCUGCCCAGUGCCGGAAGGUUAAGGAAGCUGGUCAGCGCAAGCGAAGCUGGCGACUGAAGCCCCGGUGAACGGCGGCCGUAACAAUAACGGUCCUAAGGUAGCGAAAUUCCUUGUCGGGUAAGUUCCGACCCGCACGAAAGGCGUAACGAUCUGGGCGCUGUCUCGGAGAGAGGCUCGGCGAAAUAGAAAUGUCUGUGAAGAUGCGGACUACGUGCACCCGGACAGAAAGACCCUAUGAAGCUUUACUGUAGCUUGGUAUUGUGCUCGGGCUCGGAAUGCGCAGGAUAGGUGGGAUGCUUUGAUCCAUUGCUUGCGGGUGAUGGUGAGCCACUGGUGAGAUACCACUCUUUUCGAGCUUAAGUUCUAACCCUCGCCCGUUAUCCGGGGAGGGGACAGUAUCAGGUGGGCAGUUUGACUGGGGCGGUCGCCUCCUAAAAGGUAACGGAGGCGCGCAAAGGUUCCCUCAGGCUGGUUGGAAAUCAGCCGACGAGUGCAAAAGCAGAAGGGAGCUUGACUGUGAGACCUACAAGUCGAACAGGGACGAAAGUCGGCUUUAGUGAUCCGACGGUUCUGUGUGGAAGGGCCGUCGCUCAACGGAUAAAAGUUACUCUAAGGAUAACAGGCUGAUCUCCCCCAAGAGUUCACAUCGACGGGGAGGUUUGGCACCUCGAUGUCGGCUCAUCGCAACCUGGGGCUGAAGUCGGUCCCAAGGGUUGGGCUGUUCGCCCAUUAAAGCGGUACGCGAGCUGUGUUCAGAACGUCGUGAGACAGUUCGGUCCAUAUCCGGUGCAUGCGCAGGAACAUUGAGAGGAUUUCUCCCUAGUACGAGAGGACCGGGAGGAACGCACCUCUGGUGUACCAGUUAUCGUGCCAACGGUAAACGCUGGGUAGCCAUGUGCGGAGCGGAUAACCGCUGAAAGCAUCUAAGUGGGAAGCCCACCUCAAGAUGAGUGUUCCCAUGGCUUAAGCCAGUAAGGUCACGGGAAGAACACCCGUUGAUAGGCUCUAUGUGGAAGCGCAGCAAUGCGUGAAGCAGAGGAGUACUAAUAGACCGAGGGCUUGACCA